GACGAACGCUGGCGGCGUGCUUAACACAUGCAAGUCGAACGGUGAAGCUCCAGCUUGCUGGCGUGGAUCAUUGGCGAACGGGUGAGUAACACGUGAGCAACCUGCCCCUGACUCUGGAAUAAGCGCUGGAAACGGCGUCUAAAACUGGAUACGAGAAGUGUCCGCGUGGGCACUUACUGUAAAGUUUUUCUGUUGUGGAUGGUCUCGCGGCCUAUCAGCUUGUUGGUGAGGUAAUGGCUCACCAAGGCGACGACGGUUAGCCGGCCUGAGAGGGCGACCGGCCACACUGGGACUGAGACACGGACCAGACUCCUACGGGAGGCAGCAGUGGAGAAUAUUGCACAAUGGGCGAAAGCCUGAUGCAGCGACGCCGCGUGAGGGAUGACGGCCUUCGGGUUGUAAACCUCUUUCAGCAGGGAAGAAGCGAAAGUGACGGUACCUGCAGAAGAAGCACCGGCUAACUACGUG
RNAcentral lists this ribosomal RNA (468 nucleotides) under uncultured bacterium. RNAcentral describes it as "partial 16S ribosomal RNA". It matches the Rfam family "Bacterial small subunit ribosomal RNA", at positions 28 to 507 of the family's 1533-position model. The record is from RNAcentral.